Molecule: long non-coding RNA, 1541 nt
Organism: Cyprinus carpio (common carp)
Lineage: Eukaryota; Metazoa; Chordata; Actinopteri; Cypriniformes; Cyprinidae
Source: Ensembl
AUUUAUACAGAAAUGAUCAUACUGUGCACAGUGUGCAUACCGAGUACUACAAAAACAGUAAGUGGUAUGCUGUUCUCAACACACUAGAAGAAUUGAUUAUUUAGGAGGAAUUUGGUAUGUCCUCCACACAUUUACAGCCUCUAGAGGGCAGCAAAACUCUCGUACACAUUUCAUUUAGGUUUGACACUUGGUGGCCCAAAUCUAAUCAUUUGUCUGUAAGGAUAGUCGGAUAGAUGUGUACUUGCAUGUUAUUUAUUUGAACACUGUACGCCAUUUAUAAAUAUUGGACACAGCAUGGUAUACAUCUGGCCCACACUCACACACACACACACACACACACACACACAUAUAUGCUAGUCAACAUUUGAAAUGGCUCAAAACCUUUUAUCAAAGUUGUCCUAAAUCCUAAAAGCGUUUGAACUUUGAUUAACUUUUUUUAUCCACUUAAAAUGUUGACUACUGUGUGUAUGUAUAUACAUUAAUAUAAGUUUUAUUAUAUAAGUAUAAUAUAGGUUUAGUUUUAUUAGAAUAAUUUUAAUAAGUAAAACUUUAUAUUUAGCCUAUAUACUGUGUGUGUGUGUGUGUGUGUGUGUGUGUGUCUUAUAUAUAAUUUUGUUUUAUUUUAAAGGCUGAUAUAAAUACAAAAAGAACAAGCUCAUUAAAUUUGGCAUAGACAUUUGCUUAUAAAAUUGCUUUAACGAUUAUGUGCUCUUAAAGCAUGCGUGCAAGCAAGACGUUUGGGCCUUUACAGCAGAGAGUUACACACGCACACAUUUCAGGAUCCAGCGUCCGGCUGUAUGUGUCCCUGAAAAGUAAAUGCGAAAUCAGCAGCACUCAAAUCACAUUUCUUGGACAUGGAAGGGGGCGAUUCCUGACUGUGCAGCUUAACUGAACCUUUUACGACGGCUCCAAGAAAUCCACACACUAUUCGCUCGCCUUGCUCCAUGGUGACACCCACAUCUCUGGCAGCUUAGCGAUUUACAUUUUAGCAUAAUGCCAGCCAUAGAGGAGGCACAAGGCAAGGGCGAUAAGUUACAAAGUGCUCCGGGGGUAAACCUUGUAAGAGAGGUUUUGGAGCUAUUUACAGUGCUUCAGAAAUCCUUCAAAGAUGCGCCAAUUGGGGAGGAGAUUGUUCGCAGCAGUGCAUGCUUCGCGCACAAAACGCAACACAAUGCGCGAGGAGCGCGACGUGACCAGAUGGCACUAAUUCGAAUAUCCUCAUUUUAUCGCAUGCUUUUGAGGGGAAAAAAUGUGGUCGGGGGAGAGAGAGUAUUCAAACGUGGAGCGGCCCAGACAAUAAGAAGAAGCGGGCGUGCUCUGAAUAGCCCAAUCUCUGCGCAGGCCAAUCCGCUGGCGUCCCUCGGCCGGUAAACAGGGGCGGACCUCCCGCCGAAACAGAGAAAGAGCUCAGAAGAGUCGGUGUUUUCCUGCAGAAAGUUUGCGUAACUCUCACUUUGCUUCAUGUAGCAUUGCUCAGACGAUGCACGGUGCGUAUUGAGUUUUGAGUAUUGAGGUGACUGUUGACACACAGUAGAAAGAAA